This 68-nucleotide transfer RNA is filed under the name Marmota monax (woodchuck). RNAcentral describes it as "tRNA.Ala". Lineage: Eukaryota; Metazoa; Chordata; Mammalia; Rodentia; Sciuridae. The record is from RNAcentral.
GGAUUGUGGCUCAGCGGUAGAGCGCUUGUCUAGCACGUGCGAGGCCCUGGGUUCGAUUCUCAGCGCCA